UCUCUGGGAGUCCAGUGGUUAAGACUCUGCAUUGCCAAUUCAGGGUAUGUAGGUUCAAUCCCUGGUCAGGGAA
This 73-nucleotide transfer RNA is filed under the name Bos taurus (domestic cattle). It matches the Rfam family "tRNA". Rfam says of the family: Transfer RNA (tRNA) molecules are approximately 80 nucleotides in length. Their secondary structure includes four short double-helical elements and three loops (D, anti-codon, and T loops). The record is from Rfam by way of RNAcentral. RNAcentral also lists the same sequence under 4 other names. Lineage: Eukaryota; Metazoa; Chordata; Mammalia; Artiodactyla; Bovidae.